UACGUAGGCAGCGAGCGUUGUUCGGAGUUACUGGGCGUAAAGGGUGUGUAGGCGGUUGCUUAAGUUUGGUGUGAAAUCUCCGGGCUUAACUCGGAACGGUCAAGUGAUACUGUCGGACUAGAGUACAGAAGGGGCAACUGGAAUUCUCGGUGUAGCGGUGAAAUGCGUAGAUAUCGAGAGGAACACCUGCGGCGAAGGCGGGUUGCUGGGCUGAUACUGACGCUGAUGCGCGAAAGCCAGGGGAGCGAACGGG
Molecule: ribosomal RNA, 253 nt
Filed under: uncultured bacterium
Lineage: Bacteria
Description: partial 16S ribosomal RNA
Rfam family: Bacterial small subunit ribosomal RNA
Source: RNAcentral